This 76-nucleotide transfer RNA is filed under the name Candidatus Cloacimonadota bacterium. RNAcentral describes it as "Candidatus Cloacimonetes bacterium tRNA-Asn". It matches the Rfam family "tRNA". Rfam says of the family: Transfer RNA (tRNA) molecules are approximately 80 nucleotides in length. Their secondary structure includes four short double-helical elements and three loops (D, anti-codon, and T loops). Lineage: Bacteria; Pseudomonadati; Candidatus Cloacimonadota. The record is from RNAcentral.
UCCCUGAUAGCUCAGUUGGUAGAGCAAUCGACUGUUAAUCGAUGUGUCGUAAGUUCGAGUCUUACUCGGGGAGCCA